GUAGGUGGCAAGCGUUGUCCGGAAUUAUUGGGCGUAAAGCGCGCGCAGGCGGUUUCUUAAGUCUGAUGUGAAAGCCCACGGCUCAACCGUGGAGGGUCAUUGGAAACUGGGGAACUUGAGUGCAGAAGAGGAAAGUGGAAUUCCACGUGUAGCGGUGAAAUGCGUAGAGAUGUGGAGGAACACCAGUGGCGAAGGCGACUUUCUGGUCUGUAACUGACGCUGAGGCGCGAAAGCGUGGGGAGCAAACAGGGAUUAGAUACCCUGGUAGUCCACGCCGUAAACGAUGAGUGCUAAGUGUUAGAGGGUUUCCGCCCCUUUAGUGCUGCAGCUAACGCAUUAAGCACUCCGCCCUGGGAGUACGGUCGCAAGACUG
This 373-nucleotide ribosomal RNA is filed under the name uncultured organism. RNAcentral describes it as "partial 16S ribosomal RNA". It matches the Rfam family "Bacterial small subunit ribosomal RNA", at positions 527 to 896 of the family's 1533-position model. The record is from RNAcentral.